Molecule: non-coding RNA, 113 nt
Filed under: Halalkalibacter hemicellulosilyticus
Lineage: Bacteria; Bacillati; Bacillota; Bacilli; Caryophanales; Bacillaceae
Also listed under: 1 other name
Description: Bacillus hemicellulosilyticus SAM-I sequence
Rfam family: SAM riboswitch aptamer (S box leader)
About the family: The SAM riboswitch is found upstream of a number of genes which code for proteins involved in methionine or cysteine biosynthesis in Gram-positive bacteria.
Source: RNAcentral
CUCUUAUCCCGAGUUGGCGGAGGGACAGGCCCGACGAAGCCCAGCAACCAUCACUUAAUAGCCAAGAGUGAAAAGGUGCUAACCUGCAAGGCAUAUGCCUUGAACGAUAAGAG